GUUAAAAUGUGGGCACUUUCUAACCCUUUUGAAUUUCUCAAAUAUGUUUACCUUUCUAGGUUUCUCUUUAUUUCUGUUUCCCUUUCAAAUAAGUGUAGAGAUUAAAUUGUAAAGCCUGCCUAUUUUUAGAUUUAAUCACCAAAAGUGUAAACACCUACUUACAGUAGUGGGGAGAUCUGCCCAUUUUUUAGAUUUAAUCACCAAAGGUGUAAACACACAUUAAGAGGGAGGUCUGUGACACACACAUGAAAUAGUGGGUAAUGAAUCAAAAUCAACUGACUUUUCCUGGGCCGUCCUAAAAGCAAAAGCAUCAACUGUGAUUGGUAGAUGUAAAAAUUAGGGGAAGUGAUGCAAAAGAAAGUGCCUUUAAAAGGGAGUGACAACUGCCUGAGUGCAGUUGGACUUGGAACUUUCACUUGGAGUGGAACCUCCUGUGAGAGAAAGUUCUACUGGGAGCUCUACUGGGAGUUUGAAUUGGGAUGGAGGCUGAUAAAGAAUCUGCUUACUGGACUGACAUGUGUGUUCUUCAGGUUCUGCUUAUUUCUCUCUGCAUCAGUUCAUGUAGAUAUUACAAGGAAGCCUUUUGGAAGAAUUGCUAUGGUGAAAUACUGAAGUAGUACACUUCACAAGUGAGUUCAAACACCUAGAAUUUUGAUUAUUGGAACCAUAAUUUAUUAAUAAAAGAGAGAAAUAAAGACUCA
RNAcentral lists this long non-coding RNA (701 nucleotides) under Monodelphis domestica (gray short-tailed opossum). RNAcentral's name for it is "lncRNA (ENSMODG00000041905.1)". Lineage: Eukaryota; Metazoa; Chordata; Mammalia; Didelphimorphia; Didelphidae. The record is from RNAcentral.